GCGACAGGCCUAACACAUGCAAGUCGAGGGGCGAGCACAAGGAGCAAUCUGAGGUGGCGACCGGCGCACGGGUGAGUAACACGUAUGCAACCUGCCUGUAAGCGGGGAAUAACCCGUUGAAAGACGGACUAAUACCGCAUAAUACUAAAUUACUGCAUGGUAAUUUAUUUAAACAUUUAUGGCUUACAGAUGGGCAUGCGCAUGAUUAGCUAGUUGGAGAGGUAACGGCUCCCCAAGGCAACGAUCAUUAGGGGUUCUGAGAGGAAGGUCCCCCACACUGGUACUGAGACACGGACCAGACUCCUACGGGAGGCAGCAGUGAGGAAUAUUGGUCAAUGGACGAGAGUCUGAACCAGCCAAGUCGCGUGCAGGAAGAAUGUCCCUAUGGAUUGUAAACUGCUUUUGCAGGGGAAUAAAGUGCAUCACGUGUGAUGUUUUGUAUGUACUCUGCGAAUAAGGAUCGGCUAACUCCGUGCCAGCCGCAGC
RNAcentral lists this ribosomal RNA (486 nucleotides) under uncultured bacterium. RNAcentral's name for it is "bacterial SSU rRNA". It matches the Rfam family "Bacterial small subunit ribosomal RNA", at positions 39 to 518 of the family's 1533-position model. The record is from RNAcentral.